UGGGGAAUAUUGCACAAUGGGCGCAAGCCUGAUGCAGCCAUGCCGCGUGUAUGAAGAAGGCCUUCGGGUUGUAAAGUACUUUCAGCGGGGAGGAAGGGAGUAAAGUUAAUACCUUUGCUCAUUGACGUUACCCGCAGAAGAAGCACCGGCUAACUCCGUGCCAGCAGCCGCGGUAAUACGGAGGGUGCAAGCGUUAAUCGGAAUUACUGGGCGUAAAGCGCACGCAGGCGGUGUGUUAAGUCAGAUGUGAAAUCCCCGGGCUCAACCUGGGAACUGCAUCUGAUACUGGCAAGCUUGAGUCUCGUAGAGGGGGGUAGAAUUCCAGGUGUAGCGGUGAAAUGCGUAGAGAUCUGGAGGAAUACCGGUGGCGAAGGCGGCCCCCUGGACGAAGACUGACGCUCAGGUGCGAAAGCGUGGGGAGCAAACA
Molecule: ribosomal RNA, 427 nt
Filed under: uncultured bacterium
Lineage: Bacteria
Description: partial 16S ribosomal RNA
Rfam family: Bacterial small subunit ribosomal RNA
Source: RNAcentral